ACGGAAGGCAGCAGUGGGGAAUAUUGGACAAUGGGGGCAACCCUGAUCCAGCGACGCCGCGUGAGUGAAGAAGUAUUUCGGUAUGUAAAGCUCUUUAAGCAGGGAAGACAAUGACGGUACCUGCAGAAUAAGCCCCGGCUAACUACGUGCCAGCAGCCGCGGUAAUACGUAGGGGGCAAGCGUUAUCCGGAUUUACUGGGUGUAAAGGGAGCGUAGACGGCAUAGCAAGUCUGAAGUGAAAUGCGGGGGCUCAACCCCUGAACUGCUUUGGAAACUGUUAAGCUAGAGUGCAGGAGAGGUAAGUGGAAUUCCUAGUGUAGCGGCGAAAUGCGUAGAUAUUAGGAGGAACACCAGUGGCGAAGGCGGCUUACUGGACUGCAACUGACGUUGAGGCUCGAAAGCGUGGGGAGCAAACAGGAUUAGAUACCCUGGUA
This 434-nucleotide ribosomal RNA is filed under the name uncultured Lachnospiraceae bacterium. RNAcentral's name for it is "bacterial SSU rRNA". It matches the Rfam family "Bacterial small subunit ribosomal RNA", at positions 341 to 792 of the family's 1533-position model. Lineage: Bacteria; Bacillati; Bacillota; Clostridia; Lachnospirales; Lachnospiraceae. The record is from RNAcentral.